UACGGAGGGGGCUAGCGUUGUUCGGAAUUACGGGGCGUAAAGCGUACGUAGGCGGCUUUGUAAGUUAGAGGUGAAAGCCUGAUGCUCAACAUCAGAAUUGCCUUUAAGACUGCAUCGCUUGAAUCGUGGAGAGGUAAGUGGAAUUCCGAGUGUAGAGGUGAAAUUCGUAGAUAUUCGCAAGAACACCAGUGGCGAAGGCGGCUCACUGGCCCGGUACUGACGCUGAGGUGCGAAAGCGUGGGGAGCAAACAGG
Molecule: ribosomal RNA, 253 nt
Filed under: uncultured bacterium
Lineage: Bacteria
Description: partial 16S ribosomal RNA
Rfam family: Bacterial small subunit ribosomal RNA
Source: RNAcentral